GGCGAACGCUGGCGGCGUGCUUAACACAUGCAAGUCGAACGGACAGGCCCUGCUUUUGUGGGGUGCUCGAGUGGCGAACGGGUGAGUAACACGUGAGUAACCUGCCCUUGACUUUGUGAUAACUUCUGGAAACUGGGGCUAAUACCGGAUAGGGUCUCCUGCUGCACGGUGGGCGUUGGAAAGUUUCGGCCGUUGGGGAUGGACUCGCGGCUUAUCAGCUUGUUUGUGGGGUAGUGGUAUACCAGGGCUUUGACGGGUAGCCGGCCUGAGAGGGUGAACGGCGACCAUGGGACUGAGGUACGGCGCAGAAGGCUACGGGAGGCAACAGGGGGGAAUCUUGCGGAAUGGGCGGAAGCCUGAUGCAGCAGCGCCGCGUGCGGGAUGACCGGCUUCUGGGUGUAAACCGCUGUCGCAUGUGACGAAGCGGGAGUGACGGUAAUGGGUAAAGAAGCACCGGCUAACUACGUG
This 468-nucleotide ribosomal RNA is filed under the name uncultured bacterium. Its description in RNAcentral is "partial 16S ribosomal RNA". It matches the Rfam family "Bacterial small subunit ribosomal RNA", at positions 28 to 507 of the family's 1533-position model. The record is from RNAcentral.